RNAcentral lists this ribosomal RNA (253 nucleotides) under uncultured bacterium. Its description in RNAcentral is "partial 16S ribosomal RNA". It matches the Rfam family "Bacterial small subunit ribosomal RNA", at positions 524 to 776 of the family's 1533-position model. The record is from RNAcentral.
UACGUAGGGUGCGAGCGUUAAUCGGAAUUACUGGGCGUAAAGCGUGCGCAGGCGGUUUUGUAAGCCAGAUGUGAAAUCCCCGGGCUUAACCUGGGAAUGGCAUUUGGGACUGCAAGGCUCGAGUGCGGCAGAGGAGACUGGAAUUCCUGGUGUAGCAGUGAAAUGCGCAGAUAUCGGGAAGAACACCCGUGGCUAAGGCGGCUCUCUAGUACGGUACUGACGCUGAGACGCGAAAGCGUGGGGAGCGAACAGG